ACCAACAUUCUGCACAGCGAUCAUGAUUCCC
RNAcentral lists this non-coding RNA (31 nucleotides) under Homo sapiens (human). Lineage: Eukaryota; Metazoa; Chordata; Mammalia; Primates; Hominidae. The record is from RNAcentral.